This 497-nucleotide ribosomal RNA is filed under the name uncultured bacterium. RNAcentral describes it as "partial 16S ribosomal RNA". It matches the Rfam family "Bacterial small subunit ribosomal RNA", at positions 28 to 507 of the family's 1533-position model. The record is from RNAcentral.
GAUGAACGCUGGCGGCGUGCCUAAUACAUGCAAGUCGAGCGAACGGACGAGAAGCUUGCUCCUCUGAUGUUAGCGGCGGACGGGUGAGUAACACGUGGAUAACCUACCUAUAAGACUGGGAUAACUUCGGGAAACCGGAGCUAAUACCGGAUGAUAUUUUGAACCGCAUGGUUCAAAAGUGAAAGACGGUCUUGCUGUCACUUAUAGAUGGAUACGCGCUUCAUUAGCUAGUUGGUAAGGUAACGGCUUACCAAGGCAACGAUGGAUAACCGACCUGAGGGGGUGGAUCGACAGCCUGGAAGUGAGGAAGAGUCCAGACUCCGACGGGAAGAAGCGGUAGGGAAUCUUCCGGGAUGGGGCAGAGCCUGAUGUAGGAACGCCGCCGAAAGGAUGAAGGACCUAGGAUGGGUGAAUUCUGAUAGUAGGAGAGUAGUAAAGUUUUAUUAACCGGGCUCAUCAUGACGGUACCGAAACAAAAAGCCCCGGCUAACUACGUG